Molecule: ribosomal RNA, 429 nt
Filed under: Pseudomonadota bacterium
Lineage: Bacteria; Pseudomonadati; Pseudomonadota
Description: Proteobacteria bacterium partial 16S ribosomal RNA
Rfam family: Bacterial small subunit ribosomal RNA
Source: RNAcentral
UGGGGAUUAUUGGACAAUGGGCGAAAGCCUGAUCCAGCCAUGCCGCGUGUGUGAAGAAGGUCUUCGGAUUGUAAAGCACUUUAAGUUGGGAGGAAGGGCAGUAAGCGAAUACCUUGCUGUUUUGACGUUACCGACAGAAUAAGCACCGGCUAACUCUGUGCCAGCAGCCGCGGUAAUACAGAGGGUGCAAGCGUUAAUCGGAAUUACUGGGCGUAAAGCGCGCGUAGGUGGUUCGUUAAGUUGAAUGUGAAAGCCCCGGGCUCAACCUGUGAACUGCAUCCAAAACUGGCGAGCUAGAGUAGGGCAGAGGGUGGUGGAAUUUCCUGUGUAGCGGUGAAAUGCGUAGAUAUAGGAAGGAACACCAGUAGCGAAGGCGACCACCUGGGCUCAUACUGGCACUGAGGUGCGAAAGCGUGGGGAGCAAACAGA